CUUGACCGAGCCCAGCCGCAGCGGUUUGCCCUCGGGCCGUCCCUGCCCGUAUGUGGCCAGCAACGCGUGCGCCUC
This 75-nucleotide antisense RNA is filed under the name Streptomyces bingchenggensis BCW-1. Its description in RNAcentral is "ASpks TB sRNA". It matches the Rfam family "ASpks TB sRNA". Lineage: Bacteria; Bacillati; Actinomycetota; Actinomycetes; Kitasatosporales; Streptomycetaceae. The record is from Rfam by way of RNAcentral.